CUACGGGUUGCACCAGUGAGGAAUAUUGCACAAUGGAGGAAACUCUGAUGCAGCAACGCCGCGUGGAGGAUGACGCAUUUCGGUGUGUAAACUCCUUUUAUAUGUCAAGAAAAUGACGGUAGCAUAUGAAUAAGCUCCGGCUAACUCCGUGCCAGCAGCCGCGGUAAUACGGAGGGUGCAAGCGUUACUCGGAAUCACUGGGCGUAAAGGACGCGUAGGCGGGUUGGGAAGUCAGGUGUGAAAUCCUACAGCUUAACUGUAGAACUGCACUUGAAACUUCUAAUCUAGAGUAUGGGAGGGGGAGAUGGAAUUAGUGGUGUAGGGGUAAAAUCCGUAGAUAUCACUAGGAAUACCUAAAGCGAAGGCGAUCUCCUGGAACAUUACUGACGCUAAGGCGUGAAAGCGUGGGGAGCAAACAGGAUUAGAUACCCGCGUAGUC
Molecule: ribosomal RNA, 439 nt
Filed under: uncultured bacterium
Lineage: Bacteria
Description: partial 16S ribosomal RNA
Rfam family: Bacterial small subunit ribosomal RNA
Source: RNAcentral